Molecule: ribosomal RNA, 317 nt
Filed under: uncultured bacterium
Lineage: Bacteria
Description: bacterial SSU rRNA
Rfam family: Bacterial small subunit ribosomal RNA
Source: RNAcentral
GACGAACGCUGGCGGCGUGCCUAACACAUGCAAGUCGAGCGGAGAUUGAGGAAGAGCUUGCUCGGAAUCAAUCUUAGCGGCGGACGGGUGAGUAACGCGUGAGCAACCUGCCUUUCACAGGGGGAUAACGCAGCGAAAGUUGUGCUAAUACCGCAUGAGACCACAGAGGGACACCCCUUAGGGGUCAAAGGAGCAAUCCGGUGAAAGAUGGGCUCGCGUCUGAUUAGCUAGUUGGUGAGGUAACGGCCCACCAAGGCGACGAUCAGUAGCCGACCUGAGAGGGUGAUCGGCCACAUUGGAACUGAGAGACGGUCCAA